This 148-nucleotide small RNA is filed under the name Sinorhizobium meliloti 2011. RNAcentral describes it as "putative ncRNA". Lineage: Bacteria; Pseudomonadati; Pseudomonadota; Alphaproteobacteria; Hyphomicrobiales; Rhizobiaceae. The record is from RNAcentral.
CAGCUUAACAUGUGUGUCGAGAUGGAAUGCCGGCGUCAGAAUCUGGUAAAGUUCUCGAGCUUGGUUGUAUCUAUUCUGGGAGCAAAGAUCGAACAACUCCACGCACUCGGAGGGCCAAACAUUGGCCAUUCCCGAGACCCAACCUGUU